AGGAUGAACGCUGGCGGCGUGCUUAACACAUGCAAGUCGAACGGAAGUAGUAAUACUUCAGUGGCGCACGGGUGAGGAACACGUAGCUCAUCUGCCCUCAAGUGUGGGAUAACGGUCCGAAAAGGAUUGCUAAUACCGCAUAAGCUCCUGGGUUGUAGAGACCUGGGAGAAAAGGCGAAGCUCGCAAGAGCCAGUCGCUUGAGGAGGAGGCUGCGGCCCAUCAGGUAGUUGGUGCGGUAACGGCGCACCAAGCCAACGACGGGUAGGGGACCUGAGAGGGUGACCCCCCACACUGGGACUGAGACACGGCCCAGACUCCUACGGGAGGCAGCAGUGAGGAAUAUUGCCCAAUGGGCAAAGCCUGAGGCAGCGACACGCGUGGGUGAUGAAGGCCUUCGGUCGUAAAGCCCUUUUCUGUGUGACGAGAACGGACGGUAGACACAGGAAAAAGUCUCGGCUAACUACGUGCCAGCAGCCGCGGU
RNAcentral lists this ribosomal RNA (482 nucleotides) under uncultured bacterium. RNAcentral's name for it is "SSU rRNA". It matches the Rfam family "Bacterial small subunit ribosomal RNA", at positions 26 to 521 of the family's 1533-position model. The record is from RNAcentral.